UGUGGAAAGAAGAAGUACCCACUUCUCACCUGAUUGGCUUAAGUCGAUAGGUUUAAAAGUCGCAUAGUUUUUUUUAACUGUGAUUUUAAACGUGGGCGCUUGAAUGCCUACGUUUUUCUUUUUUU
Turicibacter sanguinis PC909 is the source of this 125-nucleotide non-coding RNA. NCBI's taxonomy places the organism in Bacteria, Bacillati, Bacillota, Erysipelotrichia, Erysipelotrichales, Turicibacteraceae. The record is from Rfam.